AAGGCGCUGCUUCACAUUUCAAUAUGUUCAUUGUAGGUCUGUAGUCCUGAUAGUGCCUAUGGAGUAUUUCCUAUGGCCUUCUGUCUCUAUUUAUGGAGAGAACACAUGAUCAACGACCAUGCAUGGCGAAGGAAGUUUUAAGAUGCCUAGAGUUGGAAGUUCCUAUUAAAACGCCCUUUUCGCUAACAACAGCUGCUUUCUUACAGCUUGUGGUUUGAUAGUAGGUGGGCGGAAAUUA
This 238-nucleotide small nucleolar RNA is filed under the name Eremothecium cymbalariae DBVPG#7215. Lineage: Eukaryota; Fungi; Ascomycota; Saccharomycetes; Saccharomycetales; Saccharomycetaceae. The record is from RNAcentral.